RNAcentral lists this transfer RNA (73 nucleotides) under Xenopus tropicalis (tropical clawed frog). RNAcentral's name for it is "tRNA-Arg (TCT) (tRNA-Arg-TCT-30-1)". It matches the Rfam family "tRNA". From Rfam's summary of the family: Transfer RNA (tRNA) molecules are approximately 80 nucleotides in length. Their secondary structure includes four short double-helical elements and three loops (D, anti-codon, and T loops). The record is from RNAcentral. Lineage: Eukaryota; Metazoa; Chordata; Amphibia; Anura; Pipidae.
GGCUAUGUGGCGCAAUGGAUAGCGCAUUGGACUUCUAAUUCAAAGGUUGUGGGUUCGAGUCCCACCAGAGUCG